Cyanistes caeruleus (blue tit) is the source of this 991-nucleotide non-coding RNA. NCBI's taxonomy places the organism in Eukaryota, Metazoa, Chordata, Aves, Passeriformes, Paridae. The record is from RefSeq and is a predicted model, not a curated record.
UGAAACGGAGCAAAGAAAUAUCACAACAGCAUUGGCAUGAAGCUUGCAAAAGAAAAGGAUUGAUUUCUACAGUGUGUGCAGAUUUUGCUGCCUAUAUUUGGAGCCAGGAUGACUUCUUUAAACGACUCCCUCGUCAGCACCUGACCUGGUGCCCACAGCUACACCAGAACAAGAGAUUCUGAAGUGAACAACAGAGGGGAGUACUGAAACAUUUGGGAAGAGGAAGCCCUCUCCUAAUAAAUGGAUGCUGACUGCAUGUUGUAAAACAGCAUUGGACUUUACUGGAAAGAGAAAGUCCAUGAAUUCAUCACUGAUACAGGAUGUACAGACUUAAGCUUUUAUUUUGAAGUCUAUAACUUUCCUACUGAGUAACGUCAGCUGUCUGUCAGUCUGCAGACAACACCACGGGCAUUGAUGUGUCUCAGAAGCAGCUCCAUCUCCUCCCAGCCACAACCAAGUGUGGUGGUGCUGCUCCUCCCUCCUGUUCCUGAGAAAACUUCCCUUCUUAUUAGUCAAGUAAGUCAUUUCAGUGAGUCAGACAACGGUUUCCAAAACAAUCUUUGGGUGAUGGCUCUGCAAGCAGUUAAGUGAAAAGAGAAAUCUGCUGUGCAAAGCUUCUUUGUUUAUUGCUUUUGCUGACUGGCUAAAAGUGAGGUCACAGCAAGCUCGGAGGGCUUGAUAGAAAUGAAAUAAUUUAACUGGAAAAUACAUCUUGAGAAAGAUGACUCUGCAAAAUGCCACACUUAGCAAUCUUAUAUUCAUACCUUUAAUAGUUGUCAUUAAAAUGUGAUUAUCUAUAAAUGAAAAUGUGUAUGGUUUCCAGAUUUAUGCAACUCAAGCAUAUUGCUACAGUAAUUUUGCAUGAAAAUGCACCAAGGUAUUCUCAGCCAGCAUCAAAAUUAAUCAAUGAAAGCAAAUAAUUUCCAUUCCUAGGGUGAUCCCAACUCCACUGAUAUUGGGAAAUCUCCCAGUGGCACAGAGUCAUGAAAUA